RNAcentral lists this long non-coding RNA (308 nucleotides) under Heterocephalus glaber (naked mole-rat). RNAcentral describes it as "lncRNA (ENSHGLG00000039129.1)". The record is from RNAcentral. Lineage: Eukaryota; Metazoa; Chordata; Mammalia; Rodentia; Bathyergidae.
GUUUGCUAAGUGGCUGUAUUGCCCAGGUGGUGCUUGAAUUUUCGGCCCCUUUGCCCAGAGUGAUAGGGUCACAGAGCCUCGUUCAUCUGCUUUGUUACUUCUGCUGUUACCAGAAGAGAGAGAGAGUCCAGGGGAGAAGAUUUAUAAGCAGUUAGGGGAUAAAAAACAAAAGAAGAGGAAGAGAUCAGAAGCAAGAGGACAAACAUUAGGAAACUGGUGAAGAAGACAGGUGAGAAAAAGGAAAAAAUAAAAACAAGAACAGAACAACAACAAAACACUAGAAACCAAAGAAAAGAUCUAGAAAGGAA